AGCGAUUCUCCAGCCUCAGCCUCCCAAAUAGGUGGGACUACAGGUGGCGUCGGACCCCUGUCAGAGAGUAAAUCUCAAGUAAGGUACCUGCCAUCGGCAGAUUUGAGCUUUCUUCUUGGACACCUAAUACCCACAGUCCUCCAGGCUCCGGUAGACUGCAAAUGACCUGCUUUCUUUCUGUUCCCGGGCUGCGUUUGGACCCCUGUCGGAUAGUAAAUCCCAAGCUCCGGUAGACUGCAAAUGACCUGCUUUCUUUCUGUUCCCGGGCUGCGUUUGGACCCCUGUCGGACAGUAAAUCCCAAGUAAGGUACCUGCCCUCGGCAGAUUUGAGCUUUCUUCUUGGACACCUAAUACCCACAGUCCUCCAGGAAUGGAACAGAUAAGAAGAUACUGAAAUUGGACGGUGCUGCCGUGCGGCUGCCGCAGGACACCUUUAAUAUCCCUGUUUCUCAGGCUGUAGAUGAAGGGGUUCAGCAUGGAGGUGAUCACCGUGUACAUCACUGAGGCCACUGCAGCCUUUCUCGGGGAAGAUGACACAUCUGAACUGAGGUACCCUCCAAAGCCUGUUCCGUAAAAUCAGCAAACAACUGACAGGAUAACUUCAGGAAGUGGGUAUUAAUUCUCACGGUAUAAGUGAAGACAUUAAGCACCAGAGUUUAAGUAGCUUGAUCCACUGAAAGAGAUUCAACUGUGUGGAACCUAUGCCGUGGAGAAUUGCUUUCUGCCAUUGUUAUCGUCCAGCAGUUGCCGAAUAGCUCUGACCUGAGCAAAGCAGUGAAACGCGGUGCUGUUGAGUGGGUUGCCACUGCACCUUUUUCAACUACUCUAGUCUUGUGGAGAAAAUACCCCUUCUAAAUUUUUUCUUCAUUGAAUACUCUCCCUCAGCUCCAGAGUACCAUAUAGAGUUUUCUUGUAUUUUAGAGUUACUGUUUUAUCAAAGUUUACCAGUCUUUUGUAUUACAUUUCUCCUGUCUAAAUCGACUGUGUGGUUUCUACUCAUUAUGGAUAUAGAUUGAUACAAACUCAAUAAAUAUUUUUGAAUGAAUAACUCCACAGUCCAAGUU
RNAcentral lists this long non-coding RNA (1064 nucleotides) under Homo sapiens (human). Its description in RNAcentral is "HSALNT0373191". Lineage: Eukaryota; Metazoa; Chordata; Mammalia; Primates; Hominidae. The record is from RNAcentral.